CCCAAAGUGCUAGGAUUACAGGCAUGAACCACCGUGCCUGGCGGACUAGCCGCUUUUUAUUUUUCUUCGUGGUUAUUGCAGGGUUGUGGAGCUUUAAAUCAUGCUUCUGUAGUCAGAGUGCUCUUAGUUGCAUUGUCUUAAUCCUCAUCACGGCCCGAGAACAGUCUGUAAAUCGGGAGUUCAGAGUGGGACCCUCUGCGGGGACCGGAAACCUGUUGCUGAAGCCGCUCACCACCAGGCCCAGAGAGGCGAGGCUGGAGCCCAUGGUGACAGUGGCCGGGCUUCGCUCUGGCUCCAGCAAUACCUGCAAAUCCAGUUCUUCCCAGCUGUUUCUCCAAACUGGUAGGAAAAAAAAAAGUGCAGAUUAGGGAGCCGAAACCCCACUUCAAAAACGGGAAUUCACCUACAAGAAAGUAGCUGAUCCUGCUCCCAUUGACGUGCUUGUUGUGCAAGGGUGAGGUUAACCAGCUAGGACCAAGCAACGGGUUUCCCUACACCCUGGGUGUGGCCACUCGUCCUGCAAGGAGAUAACCCAAGGAAGCAGCUCCUCCUGAAUCAUACAUGUUGAUCGCAGAUUGAGCUAGAAGGCAGAUCUCAUGACUGGUAUAAUGACUUCACUGGGAAGUUCUAGCAGUUGCCAGAACUGUAAGUUAGUUAUACAGGCUCCUGGUUCAAUGUUUUCCCGAAGUAGGUCAUUUGGUAACCUAAGAUUAGGAAUUUGGUAAUCUGGCACAAUACUUGGCACUGUGCUCAAUAAAUGUUUGUUCAGUGACUAAAA
Molecule: long non-coding RNA, 778 nt
Organism: Homo sapiens (human)
Lineage: Eukaryota; Metazoa; Chordata; Mammalia; Primates; Hominidae
Exons: 2
Source: RefSeq, a predicted model, not a curated record